GCCUAGCUUGCUAAGCUUGUUUUUAGUGGCGCACGGGUGAGUAACACGUGAGUUACCUGCCCCCAAGAGUGGGAUAGCCCCGGGAAACUGGGAUUAAUACCGCAUAAUAUCGCAAGAUUAAAGGUGCAAACCGCUUGGGGAUGGGCUCGCGGCCUAUUAGUUAGUUGGUGAGGUAACGGCUCACCAAGGCGAUGACGGGUAGCCGGUCUGAGAGGAUGUCCGGCCACACUGGAACUGAGACACGGUCCAGACACCUACGGGUGGCAGCAGUCGAGAAUCAUUCACAAUGGGGGAAACCCUGAUGGUGCGACGCCGCGUGGGGGAGCGAAGGUCUUCGGAUUGUAAACCCCUGUCAAGUGGGAGCAAAUUAAAAAGAUAGUACCACUAGAGGAAGAGACGGCUAACUCUGUGCCAGCAGCCGCGGUAAUACAGAGGUCUCAAGCGUUGUUCGGAAUCACUGGGCGUAAAGCGUACGUAGGCGGCUUGGUAAGUCGUGUGUGAAAGGCAGGGGCUCAACCUCUGGACUGCACAUGAUACUGCCAGGCUAGAGUAAUGGAGGGGAAACCGGAAUUCUCGGUGUAGCAGUGAAAUGCGUAGAUAUCGAGAGGAACACUCGUGGCAAAGGCGGGUUUCUGGACAUUAACUGACGCUGA
RNAcentral lists this ribosomal RNA (653 nucleotides) under uncultured bacterium. RNAcentral describes it as "bacterial SSU rRNA". It matches the Rfam family "Bacterial small subunit ribosomal RNA", at positions 73 to 749 of the family's 1533-position model. The record is from RNAcentral.